Molecule: ribosomal RNA, 253 nt
Filed under: uncultured bacterium
Lineage: Bacteria
Description: partial 16S ribosomal RNA
Rfam family: Bacterial small subunit ribosomal RNA
Source: RNAcentral
UACGUAGGGGACAAGCGUUAUCCGGAUUUACUGGGCGUAAAGCGCCCGUAGGCGGCUUGUUAAGUUGGACGUGAAAGCUCCCGGCUUAACUGGGAGAGGCCGUUCAAAACUGACAGGCUAGAGUGAGGAAGAGGAGAGCGGAAUUCCCGGUGUAGUGGUGGAAUGCGUAGAUAUCGGGAGGAACACCGAUGGCGAAGGCAGCCUCCUGGGCCAAUACUGACGCUCAUGCACGAAAGCGUGGGGAGCAAACAGG